Molecule: ribosomal RNA, 929 nt
Filed under: Vibrio cholerae
Lineage: Bacteria; Pseudomonadati; Pseudomonadota; Gammaproteobacteria; Vibrionales; Vibrionaceae
Description: partial 23S ribosomal RNA
Rfam family: Bacterial large subunit ribosomal RNA
Source: RNAcentral
GAGCGUUCUGUAAGCCGUUGAAGGUGAAUCGUAAGGUUUGCUGGAGGUAUCAGAAGUGCGAAUGCUGACAUGAGUAACGACAAAGGGGGUGAAAAACCUCCUCGCCGGAAGACCAAGGGUUCCUGUCCAACGUUAAUCGGGGCAGGGUGAGUCGACCCCUAAGGUGAGGCCGAAAGGCGUAAUCGAUGGGAAACGGGUUAAUAUUCCCGUACUUCUGACUAUUGCGAUGGGGGGACGGAGAAGGCUAGGUGGGCCAGGCGACGGUUGUCCUGGUUCAAGUGCGUAGGCUUGAGAGUUAGGUAAAUCCGGCUCUCUCUAAGGCUGAGACACGACGUCGAGCUGCUACGGCAGUGAAGUCAUUGAUGCCAUGCUUCCAGGAAAAGCCUCUAAGCUUCAGAUAGUCAGGAAUCGUACCCCAAACCGACACAGGUGGUCGGGUAGAGAAUACCAAGGCGCUUGAGAGAACUCGGGUGAAGGAACUAGGCAAAAUGGUACCGUAACUUCGGGAGAAGGUACGCUCUUGAUGGUGAAGUCCCUCGCGGAUGGAGCUGACGAGAGUCGCAGAUACCAGGUGGCUGCAACUGUUUAUUAAAAACACAGCACUGUGCAAAAUCGCAAGAUGACGUAUACGGUGUGACGCCUGCCCGGUGCCGGAAGGUUAAUUGAUGGGGUUAGCGCAAGCGAAGCUCUUGAUCGAAGCCCCGGUAAACGGCGGCCGUAACUAUAACGGUCCUAAGGUAGCGAAAUUCCUUGUCGGGUAAGUUCCGACCUGCACGAAUGGCGUAAUGAUGGCCACGCUGUCUCCACCCGAGACUCAGUGAAAUUGAAAUCGCUGUGAAGAUGCAGUGUACCCGCGGCUAGACGGAAAGACCCCGUGAACCUUUACUACAGCUUGGCACUGAACAUUGAACCUACAUGUGUAGGAUAGG